GACGAACGCUGGCGGCGUGCCUAAUACAUGCAAGUUGAGCGCUGAAGGUUGGUACUUGUACCAACUGGAUGAGCAGCGAACGGGUGAGUAACGCGUGGGGAAUCUGCCUUUGAGCGGGGGACAACAUUUGGAAACGAAUGCUAAUACCGCAUAAAAACUUUAAACACAAGUUUUAAGUUUGAAAGAUGCAAUUGCAUCACUCAAAGAUGAUCCCGCGUUGUAUUAGCUAGUUGGUGAGGUAAAGGCUCACCAAGGCGAUGAUACAUAGCCGACCUGAGAGGGUGAUCGGCCAGAUUGGGACUGAGACACGGCCCAAACUCCUACGGGAGGCAGCAGUAGGGAAUCUUCGGCAAUGGACGAAAGUCUGACCGAGCAGCGCCGCGUGAGUGAAGAAGGUUUUCGGAUCGUAAAACUCUGUUGGUAGAGAAGAACGUUGGUGAGAGUGGAAAGCUCAUAAAGUGACGGUAACUACCCAGAAAGGGACGGCUAACUACGUG
This 497-nucleotide ribosomal RNA is filed under the name uncultured bacterium. Its description in RNAcentral is "partial 16S ribosomal RNA". It matches the Rfam family "Bacterial small subunit ribosomal RNA", at positions 28 to 507 of the family's 1533-position model. The record is from RNAcentral.